This 286-nucleotide ribosomal RNA is filed under the name Aeromonas salmonicida subsp. salmonicida 01-B526. RNAcentral describes it as "partial 16S ribosomal RNA". It matches the Rfam family "Bacterial small subunit ribosomal RNA", at positions 222 to 525 of the family's 1533-position model. Lineage: Bacteria; Pseudomonadati; Pseudomonadota; Gammaproteobacteria; Aeromonadales; Aeromonadaceae. The record is from RNAcentral.
UGGAGGAGCCUUCGUCCGAUUAGCUAGUUGGUGGGGUAAAGGCCUACCAAGGCGACGAUCGGUAGCUGGUCUGAGAGGAUGAUCAGCCACACUGGGACUGAGACACGGCCCAGACUCCUACGGGAGGCAGCAGUGGGGAAUAUUGGACAAUGGGCGCAAGCCUGAUCCAGCAAUGCCGCGUGGAUGAUGAAGGUCUUCGGAUUGUAAAGUCCUUUCGACGGGGACGAUGAUGACGGUACCCGUAGAAGAAGCCCCGGCUAACUUCGUGCCAGCCGCCGCGGUAAUU